This 255-nucleotide ribosomal RNA is filed under the name uncultured bacterium. RNAcentral describes it as "partial 16S ribosomal RNA". It matches the Rfam family "Bacterial small subunit ribosomal RNA", at positions 96 to 353 of the family's 1533-position model. The record is from RNAcentral.
UGGCGGACGGGUGAGUAAUGUCUGGGAAACUGCCUGAUGGAGGGGGAUAACUACUGGAAACGGUAGCUAAUACCGCAUAACGUCGCAAGACCAAAGAGGGGGACCUUCGGGCCUCUUGCCAUCGGAUGUGCCCAGAUGGGAUUAGCUAGUAGGUGGGGUAACGGCUCACCUAGGCGACGAUCCCUAGCUGGUCUGAGAGGAUGACCAGCCACACUGGAACUGAGGCACGGUCCAGACUCCUACGGAGGCAGCAUG